RNAcentral lists this ribosomal RNA (403 nucleotides) under Dysdera longa. Its description in RNAcentral is "eukaryotic LSU rRNA". The record is from RNAcentral. Lineage: Eukaryota; Metazoa; Arthropoda; Arachnida; Araneae; Dysderidae.
UUAAGUCGCCCAGCAGAGCAGACUAGACUCCAGCUGUUUACUCUUGCUUCUUGGAGCAAUGCCGUAGAGCUUGGCACUCGGUCGCCACAUCUUUCUUGCAAAGUGAGCGGAAAGGGUGCCGGUGCAGCUCUAACUGCGGCUCCCUCCAGAAGGGAUAGUUGUAGCUUGGUUCUGAGCUCGGCUGCCUCGCAGCAACAAUGUGCGAGGCUUCGCCGGUGCACUCCAAAGUUAGGUUCAUGGUGAAGGCCUCGAAGCUGGCCUUCUGCGACCUUUUAAAUUGGAGAGCCAUACAGCGUAGGCUGGGAGUCUGUCCGCUCCGGGGCCCGCUCUGGGCUCCGGCGUUACGCGCAAGCUUUUUAGUCACGAGUUACACAGGACGUUAAGUGUGGUUCAGAGCGUCGAC